CAGUCGUACCGACGGAAAAUCAGCUCUUUGAGUGCGGACUUGUGGGUUACGUGAGCUUUACGGCCUCGUUGUUUGCAAUGUUCGUUCUUUUUGGGUGUACUUUUUCGUAUGGUAGGCCAAUGUCAGUUUCGAUCGCUAUAAAAUGACCGGCGGAAUGUAGCUUCGAUCUCGUAUUGAAGUGUUAUAGCCUCUGGUAGAUGUGGUGAUUAGGACUGAGGAUUGCAACGAAUAUCCUUUGGGCUAUCCGUCUGAUCUCUGAAAGUUGCUUAGGUGCCGAAAGCGUGCUUACGGUUAUUUAAGUUGACGGUCAAAAGGUUAGAACGUGAUUAUA
RNAcentral lists this ribosomal RNA (331 nucleotides) under uncultured Glomeromycotina. RNAcentral's name for it is "eukaryotic LSU rRNA". Lineage: Eukaryota; Fungi; Glomeromycota. The record is from RNAcentral.